GAUGAACGCUGGCGGCGUGCCUAAUACAUGCAAGUCGAGCGAACAGACGAGGAGCUUGCUCCUCUGACGUUAGCGGCGGACGGGUGAGUAACACGUGGAUAACCUACCUAUAAGACUGGGAUAACUUCGGGAAACCGGAGCUAAUACCGGAUAAUAUAUUGAACCGCAUGGUCCAAUAGUGAAAGACGGUUUUGCUGUCACUUAUAGAUGGAUCCGCGCCGCAUUAGCUAGUUGGUAAGGUAACGGCUUACCAAGGCAACGAUACGUAGCCGACCUGAGAGGGUGAUCGGCCACACUGGAACUGAGACACGGUCCAGACUCCUACGGGAGGCAGCAGUAGGGAAUCUUCCGCAAUGGGCGAAAGCCUGACGGAGCAACGCCGCGUGAGUGAUGAAGGUCUUCGGAUCGUAAAACUCUGUUAUUAGGGAAGAACAAAUGUGUAAGUAACUAUGCACGUCUUGACGGUACCUAAUCAGAAAGCCACGGCUAACUACGUG
This 497-nucleotide ribosomal RNA is filed under the name uncultured bacterium. Its description in RNAcentral is "partial 16S ribosomal RNA". It matches the Rfam family "Bacterial small subunit ribosomal RNA", at positions 28 to 507 of the family's 1533-position model. The record is from RNAcentral.